This 775-nucleotide unclassified non-coding RNA is filed under the name Hevea brasiliensis (rubber tree). Lineage: Eukaryota; Viridiplantae; Streptophyta; Magnoliopsida; Malpighiales; Euphorbiaceae. The record is from RNAcentral.
CCACAUCAGAUAAUUUAAAGGGAGUUGUCGUUCUCCUCCUCUGAUUCAUGUGAAAUGGAUUUUCAGGCCCCAGACUAACUUUCAAUGGUCUGUCAUUCAAGAAAAGCUCACAGCGCCCUGCAGCAUCUUUAGCCCAGGUAGUUGAUUCAGGUGAGGCAAAAUGCACAAAUGCAUGAGGCUCUAUCCUACUAUACCUCUCUGUUCUUUGGAAGUCUGCAGUGUUAGAUGCCUCAAAAUAUGGAUAGGACUCUGGGGGGGUCCAAGAGGUCUUCAGUCUACACCGCCAAACAAGUCCAAUCUUAUUUUCCAAAUACGCCACAAGAUCUUUUGCCUUGACAUGAAUGUCAAAUCCACCAAUACUAACUUGAGUUACCACUGUAUCCUUCUCACUUUUCUCUGUCUCCAUUCCUAUGCUGGAGAUACUAGCAAGCAGCUUGAAGAGGAGGGGUAUUGCGUGGGUUCUGCAGGUGUCGAAGAGGAGGAGCGAGCUGGUGGAGAUGCUUUCCACAUGUGCUUAUGCGAGAGAGCUGGAAUGUCGACACUUCACAAGACAACGAGAAUUAGGCCUUUGUGGGUAUGGCAUCUGUGUUGAGUGUUGGUAUGAUCGGAGUGGGUCUAUGGCUGUCUGAACAGUGGAGCUUUCAGUGGAAUUGAAUACUUGCUGAUGAAGGGUGAGUAAAAGGAGGAGAGCGAAAGGUAAUGGUUUUCUGCUAUGUCGUUUUGGGGAUAACUUCAAAUGAUUUUUCUUUUUUUCUUUUUUUCUUUUUUUUCACUC